Molecule: ribosomal RNA, 465 nt
Filed under: Vreelandella stevensii
Lineage: Bacteria; Pseudomonadati; Pseudomonadota; Gammaproteobacteria; Oceanospirillales; Halomonadaceae
Description: partial 16S ribosomal RNA
Rfam family: Bacterial small subunit ribosomal RNA
Source: RNAcentral
CCUACGGGAGGCAGCAGUGGGGAAUAUUGGACAAUGGGCGAAAGCCUGAUCCAGCCAUGCCGCGUGUGUGAAGAAGGCCUUCGGGUUGUAAAGCACUUUCAGUGGGGAAGAAAGCCUUGGGGCUAAUACCCUCGAGGAAGGACAUCACCCACAGAAGAAGCACCGGCUAACUCCGUGCCAGCAGCCGCGGUAAUACGGAGGGUGCGAGCGUUAAUCGGAAUUACUGGGCGUAAAGCGCGCGUAGGCGGUCUGAUAAGCCGGUUGUGAAAGCCCCGGGCUCAACCUGGGAACGGCAUCCGGAACUGUCAGGCUAGAGUGCAGGAGAGGAAGGUAGAAUUCCCGGUGUAGCGGUGAAAUGCGUAGAGAUCGGGAGGAAUACCAGUGGCGAUGGCGGCCUUCUGGACUGACACUGACGCUGAGGUGCGAAAGCGUGGGUAGCAAACAGGAUUAGAUACCCGUGUAGUC